This 411-nucleotide ribosomal RNA is filed under the name uncultured bacterium. RNAcentral describes it as "bacterial SSU rRNA". It matches the Rfam family "Bacterial small subunit ribosomal RNA", at positions 103 to 507 of the family's 1533-position model. The record is from RNAcentral.
CGGGUGCGGAACACGUACGCAACCUUCCUCAGAGACGGGGAAUAGCCUCUACGAAAGAGAGUAUUAACUACCCCAUAGUAUCUCGAAACUGCAUUGGUUUUGAGAUUAAAGCUUCGGCACUUUGAGAUGGGCGUGCGGCUGAUUAGGUAGUUGGUAGGGUAACGGCCUACCAAGCCAACGAUCAGUAGCUGAUGUGAGAACAUGAUCAGCCACACGGGCACUGAGACACGGGCCCGACUCCUACGGGAGGCAGCAGUGAGGAAUAUUGGUCAAUGGAGGAAACUCUGAACCAGCCAUGCCGCGUGAAGGAUGAAGGUCCUCUGGAUUGUAAACUUCUUUUAUAGAAGAAGAAACCCCAUUAUUCUUAAUGGGUUGACGGUACUCUAUGAAUAAGCACCGGCUAACUCCGUG